GACGAACGCUGGCGGCGUGCCUAAUACAUGCAAGUAGAACGCAGUUGCGCACGUGUGAGUAACGCGUAGGUAACUGCCUCCUAGAGGGGGAUAACUAUUGAAAACGAUAGCUAAUACCGCAUCCUGUGAGCUGGACCUGCGUUGUAUUAGGUAGUUGGUGAGGGAAAGGCUCACCAGGGCGACGAUACAUAGCCGACCUGCGAGGGGGAGCGGCAACACUGGGAAUGAGACACGGCCAAGACGCCGACGGGAGGCAGCAGUAGGGAAGCUGCGGCAAUGGACGGAAGUCUGACCGAGCAACGCCGCGGUAGUGAAGAAGGUUGGCGGAGCGUAAAGCGCUGUGGUGAGAGAAGCGGUAACUAACCAGAAAGGGACGGCUAACUACGUGCCAGCAGCCGCGGUAAUUC
This 407-nucleotide ribosomal RNA is filed under the name uncultured bacterium. RNAcentral's name for it is "partial 16S ribosomal RNA". It matches the Rfam family "Bacterial small subunit ribosomal RNA", at positions 28 to 526 of the family's 1533-position model. The record is from RNAcentral.